This 591-nucleotide long non-coding RNA is filed under the name Linum usitatissimum (flax). RNAcentral's name for it is "long non-coding RNA (LUSI_LNC001899)". The record is from RNAcentral. Lineage: Eukaryota; Viridiplantae; Streptophyta; Magnoliopsida; Malpighiales; Linaceae.
UUAUACCUUGGGUCAAAUUCUUAUCUAUUCUUACAUUUACAUUUUAUUUUCUAAAUCUUGUUGAUACUCUCAGCAUUCUGUAUUGUUUCACAUAAACCGCAACUUUAACUCUUGGGUCAUAAUUAACUUUGGCACUCUAAUUUUCAGGAAUAACUCAUUGUCUUCUUUACCCAAUGAGAUUAGGGCGCUUGGUUGCUUAGCCACAUUAGAUCUGCACUCAAACCAGGUAUUUGGUCAAUGACUUCUUUAUGGAUUAAGAGAACUCAAUUUUCCUUCCUAAAACAUAGGUUGAACUGUAAAUUAUCCAAAACUACUUUUUGUCAGCUGGAGAAUGUACAUACAAUGAAUAUUAUAUCAAUCCAGGAUUCGCUAUCAACCAGCUUCAGAGGGAAUGCGCUAAUAAUAUCCCUCUGUUUUUCCAUGAAUCAUAUGCGUGCUGCUUUAGUUAGGUAGUAGUGCAUAGUGAAAGAUAACAUUGGUAUGACCUUAAAACCCAGAUAGAUGCCAGCGAAGCUUUAAGCUGGGAAAUGAUAUUCAUUUUCGUGUCAAAUACACUUGGAGCGAAGACAUAUUUAAUUUCUGCUAAUAGUU